CUCAGAACGAACGCUGGCGGCAGGCCUAACACAUGCAAGUCGAGCGAGGACUUCGGUCCUAGCGGCGGACGGGUGAGUAACGCGUGGGAAUGUGCCCUUCACUACGGAAUAGUCCCGGGAAACUGGGUUUAAUACCGUAUACGCCCUUCGGGGGAAAGAAUUUCGGUGAAGGAUCGGCCCGCGUCUGAUUAGGUAGUUGGUGGGGUAACGGCCUACCAAGCCUACGAUCAGUAGCUGGUUUGAGAGGAUGAUCAGCCACACUGGGACUGAGACACGGCCCAGACUCCUACGGGAGGCAGCAGUGGGGAAUCUUAGACAAUGGGGGCAACCCUGAUCUAGCCAUGCCGCGUGAGUGACGAAGGCCCUAGGGUCGUAAAGCUCUUUCACCAGGGAAGAUAAUGACGGUACCUGGAGAAGAAACCCCGGCUAACUCCGUGCCAGCAGCCGCGGUAAUACGGAGGGGGUUAGCGUUGUUCGGAAUUACUGGGCGUAAAGCGCGCGUAGGCGGACUGUUAAGUCAGGGGUGAAAUCCCGGGGCUCAACCCCGGAACUGCCCUUGAUACUGGCAGUCUCGAGUUCGAGAGAGGUGAGUGGAACUCCGAGUGUAGAGGUGAAAUUCGUAGAUAUUCGGAAGAACACCAGUGGCGAAGGCGGCUCACUGGCUCGAUACUGACGCUGAGGUGCGAAAGUGUGGGGAGCAAACAGGAUUAGAUACCCUGGUAGUCCACACCGUAAACGAUGAAUGCCAGACGUCGGGCAGCAUGCUUGUUCGGUGUCACACCUAACGGAUUAAGCAUUCCGCCUGGGGGAGUACCGGCCGCAAGGUUUAAAACUCACAGGAAUUGACGGGGGCCCGCACAAGCGGUGGAGCAUGUGGUUUACUUCGAAGCAACGCG
Molecule: ribosomal RNA, 896 nt
Filed under: uncultured organism
Description: bacterial SSU rRNA
Rfam family: Bacterial small subunit ribosomal RNA
Source: RNAcentral